GGCAGCGUGGCCGAGUGGUCUAAGGCGCUGGUUUUAGGCACCAGUACGAAAGUGCGUGGGUUCGAAUCCCACCGCUGUCA
RNAcentral lists this transfer RNA (80 nucleotides) under Drosophila busckii. RNAcentral's name for it is "tRNA-Leu". It matches the Rfam family "tRNA". From Rfam's summary of the family: Transfer RNA (tRNA) molecules are approximately 80 nucleotides in length. Their secondary structure includes four short double-helical elements and three loops (D, anti-codon, and T loops). The record is from Rfam by way of RNAcentral. Lineage: Eukaryota; Metazoa; Arthropoda; Insecta; Diptera; Drosophilidae.